UCUUUUCAUUGUGUGCCAGCAGCCGCGGUAAUACGUAUGGUGCAAGCGUUAUCCGGAUUUACUGGGUGUAAAGGGAGCGUAGACGGCUGUGUAAGUCUGAAGUGAAAGCCCGGGGCUCAACCCCGGGACUGCUUUGGAAACUAUGCAGCUAGAGUGUCGGAGAGGUAAGUGGAAUUCCCAGUGUAGCGGUGAAAUGCGUAGAUAUUGGGAGGAACACCAGUGGCGAAGGCGGCUUACUGGACGAUGACUGACGUUGAGGCUCGAAAGCGUGGGGAGCAAACAGG
RNAcentral lists this ribosomal RNA (284 nucleotides) under Coprococcus comes ATCC 27758. RNAcentral describes it as "partial 16S ribosomal RNA". It matches the Rfam family "Bacterial small subunit ribosomal RNA", at positions 493 to 776 of the family's 1533-position model. The record is from RNAcentral. Lineage: Bacteria; Bacillati; Bacillota; Clostridia; Lachnospirales; Lachnospiraceae.